Long non-coding RNA from Nicotiana tabacum (common tobacco), 2171 nucleotides. RefSeq lists it as uncharacterized. The record is from RefSeq and is a predicted model, not a curated record. NCBI's taxonomy places the organism in Eukaryota, Viridiplantae, Streptophyta, Magnoliopsida, Solanales, Solanaceae.
CUUUUAUCUUUUAUUUUAAUUAUAACAUCUGUAAAACUCCUAAAACCCCAAAUAACUUCAACGCACUCAAAGACCUAAGGAACAAAGUCUGUUCCGAAAAACUCUAGUAUUCUCUUGAGAUCUAUGGAAGAAUCAUCCCAAAGCCAUGAUCAGUAGUUGUAGCCGUAAAUUAUCACCACAAUCUGUGCCAAAUAGCUUUGGAAACCUGUAUGUAUAUAGCAUCUCGCUGCCGGUAGCUGUACAUCAUUGUCGGUACGUAACUGUAAAAUUCUAUUGGGUGACGCCGGUAAGUGUAUUUUCUUGGAUAGAUGUUUUAGCAAUCUUAGAUUUCGUGUAUUCUACCUACUGCUUGUUGCAGGUUAAAGGUGCAAAAAUUUGAAAUCCCUAAUUUAAGAUGUGUGGUAAUGUAUUUAAGAUUUGGGGGUUUCUUCUUGAAUUAAUCAUCCCUUUCUUGUUCCACUUAUUAAUUUCUUGUUGAGUUCAUCAUUUUUAUUUCUAUUGAAGCUUUGAAUCUAAAUUAGGGACAUGUUAGGAUUUUUCAUAUUAAAAUUCUUCCAUUUUUGCUCUUUAUUCUUAAAAUUGGGGAUCUGUUAGGGUUCUUUUUCUUCUUUAUUGCAUCUUUAUAAUUGAUUGACUGUCCAUUUUUGAAGGCUAUUCGUGGGUUUUAGUAGCUGCUAAUCAUCCAUUAUCAACUCUUUCUUAUGAAUCAUCUUAGAAAGUCAGUAAAAUCAUCUAUAGAAGCACAAAAAAAUCUAAGACCAUAGUGUAGGUGUAUUUUAUCAUUGGUCGUCUUUGGAUUACUGUUAAGAAUGAGUUUCAUAUGCUUAUUUUGUGUUUUUCUUGGUUUAGGAGGUAGAAUUGUACAGAAAAACUAAUUGAAUGACUCUCACAUGAAUCUUUCCUAUUAACUUUUAGCUAACUAUGGCUCCAAACUCUUACCUGGUAAUAGAUGAAGUUGGUCUUGCGGGUUUGAAAGCAUCAUUGUGUUUUUCUUUUUUCUCAUUUCUUAGUUGACUUAAUUCUAGUAGAAUAUUCUGCUUUAAUAGUUAAUGCCUUGUAGCCUCAUUUUACAAUUUUAAGAGACAAGUAAUUCAGUAUCAAAUUGAUCCAUCAAAAGUUAUAAAGAUUGCCAUGUUACUUUAGUAUUUUGCAUGACAUGUAUAUUUUUUAUGGUUAUAUUUGCUUGUUAGUUCAAUUGUAAAAUCGUUUUUUUCCAACAACGUCAUGUGACAUGUCCAGCUUAGAGCUAACGAGAUAAUUAUGAUAACAUGGAAAGUAGGAACAGUUAUACAAUUUUGAGCAAUUUUGUACCCCUGGCAGUUGAAUUGAUUUGUCAUGAUGCUUUUGAUUUUAUGGCUAACACACCUGUCAUAGUUGUUUUAAUUGAAUAUUUCACACUUGGUUUUAAUGUGCAUAACUUUAGAGAUUCUUCUAUGGUUUUUAAUUUGAAAAUAUUGUUGCUAUUUUUCUGUUUUGGCUUGGCAUAAAAUCUUCAAUUUGAUUAUUUGUUAGUACUUUAAUAUACAACCACAAGAUGGAGGAAUAUCCCAAGAUGGACCAACUCAAGAAAGUGAAGAUGAAAAUCAAUCAGUCAUGGAAUCCAAGCAUCGUGGACGCAUGAGAUUGUAUAGGCGGGGGUUACGAAAACAGUUUUGAAAGGAAAAGUUGGAGGUUCUGGGCCUCUAUAAAUGUUACUCAGGAGAAGUUGAAUAAAAAAAAUAGAGAAAAUUAAAGACAUGAUGCAUCAAAGAAUUCAAUAAAAUUUACAAGUAAAACUAGAGAAACAAAAAGAGAAUUUGUGACAAGAAAUUACGAACGUGGUUGAAAUGCUAGCUAUAUUUGCUGCUCGUUCAUUGGGAGAAGAUCGAUACCUCUGCACCUCAAACUGCUAUUCAACAAAUAUUUCAUCGUUCAUCUUUCUACUAGUAGUAACAAACAAGGUGAAGUAAAUGAUAAAGUUACAGACAAAAACAGUGAAGACCUUGUUAAGAAGAUUUCAAUUGUUGCUGAAGUUUUAGAUAUUUUAGGAAUCUUUUAAUUUCAUUCAUUUUGAAACUUAUGCUAACUUUUGAAUUGUAUUUUGCUCUUAUGGAUAUUAUCAAUUGGAUAAUUUGGAUUAUGCUUUUGUUUAUGAAUAGUUUUAUUUUGUAAUGUAUAUAAAUUUUGGUGUA